This 336-nucleotide unclassified non-coding RNA is filed under the name soil metagenome. RNAcentral describes it as "partial contains 5.8S ribosomal RNA, internal transcribed spacer 2, and large subunit ribosomal RNA". The stretch from base 1 to 120 matches the Rfam family "5.8S ribosomal RNA", at positions 35 to 154 of the family's 154-position model. The record is from RNAcentral.
GAUGAAGAACGCAGUGAAAUGCGAUAAGUAAUGUGAAUUGCAGAAUUCAGUGAAUCAUCGAAUCUUUGAACGCACAUUGCGCCCGCCAGUAUUCUGGCGGGCAUGCCUGUUCGAGCGUCAUUUCAACCAUCAAGCCCCAGGCUUGUGUUGGGGACCUGCGGCUGCCGCAGGCCCUGAAAACCAGUGGCGGGCUCGCUGUCACACCGGGCGUAGUAGAUUUUAUCUCGCUCAGGGCGUGCUGCGGGUUCCGGCCGUUAAAAAGCCUUUUUUACCCAAGGUUGACCUCGGAUCAGGUAGGAAGACCCGCCGAACUUAAGCAUAUCAAUAAGCGGAGGA